GGCCACGGCUUGGUGGUAGAGCAGCUGCUUGGAAUGCAGAAGGUCCUAGGUUCAAGCCCUGGCAUCGCCA
Molecule: transfer RNA, 70 nt
Filed under: Sphaerodactylus townsendi
Lineage: Eukaryota; Metazoa; Chordata; Lepidosauria; Squamata; Sphaerodactylidae
Description: tRNA-Ser
Rfam family: tRNA
About the family: Transfer RNA (tRNA) molecules are approximately 80 nucleotides in length. Their secondary structure includes four short double-helical elements and three loops (D, anti-codon, and T loops).
Source: RNAcentral